GGAAAUUUUUUUGGACAUUUAUAACAAAGGUCAUCGGCCUUUUGAUGUAAUAAAUUAUAUUUUCAAAUCACUGAAAAAA
RNAcentral lists this transfer RNA (79 nucleotides) under Cryptomonas paramaecium. Its description in RNAcentral is "Cryptomonas paramecium tRNA". The record is from RNAcentral. Lineage: Eukaryota; Cryptophyceae; Cryptomonadales; Cryptomonadaceae.